AGCGUACACGGUGGAUGCCCUGGCAGUCAGAGGCGAUGAAGGACGUGCUAAUCUGCGAUAAGCGUCGGUAAGGUGAUAUGAACCGUUAUAACCGGCGAUUUCCGAAUGGGGAAACCCAGUGUGAUUCGUCACACUAUCAUUAACUGAAUCCAUAGGUUAAUGAGGCGAACCGGGGGAACUGAAACAUCUAAGUACCCCGAGGAAAAGAAAUCAACCGAGAUUCCCCCAGUAGCGGCGAGCGAACGGGGAGCAGCCCAGAGCCUGAAUCAGUGUGUGUGUUAGUGGAAGCGUCUGGAAAGGCGCGCGAUACAGGGUGACAGCCCCGUACACAAAAAUGCACAUGCUGUGAGCUCGAUGAGUAGGGCGGGACACGUGGUAUCCUGUCUGAAUAUGGGGGGACCAUCCUCCAAGGCUAAAUACUCCUGACUGACCGAUAGUGAACCAGUACCGUGAGGGAAAGGCGAAAAGAACCCCGGCGAGGGGAGUGAAAAAGAACCUGAAACCGUGUACGUACAAGCAGUGGGAGCACGCUUAGGCGUGUGACUGCGUACCUUUUGUAUAAUGGGUCAGCGACUUAUAUUCUGUAGCAAGGUUAACCGAAUAGGGGAGCCGAAGGGAAACCGAGUCUUAACUGGGCGUUAAGUUGCAGGGUAUAGACCCGAAACCCGGUGAUCUAGCCAUGGGCAGGUUGAAGGUUGGGUAACACUAACUGGAGGACCGAACCGACUAAUGUUGAAAAAUUAGCGGAUGACUUGUGGCUGGGGGUGAAAGGCCAAUCAAACCGGGAGAUAGCUGGUUCUCCCCGAAAGCUAUUUAGGUAGCGCCUCGUGAACUCAUCUUCGGGGGUAGAGCACUGUUUCGGCUAGGGGGUCAUCCCGACUUACCAACCCGAUGCAAACUGCGAAUACCGAAGAAUGUUAUCACGGGAGACACACGGCGGGUGCUAACGUCCGUCGUGAAGAGGGAAACAACCCAGACCGCCAGCUAAGGUCCCAAAGUCAUGGUUAAGUGGGAAACGAUGUGGGAAGGCCCAGACAGCCAGGAUGUUGGCUUAGAAGCAGCCAUCAUUUAAAGAAAGCGUAAUAGCUCACUGGUCGAGUCGGCCUGCGCGGAAGAUGUAACGGGGCUAAACCAUGCACCGAAGCUGCGGCAGCGACACUAUGUGUUGUUGGGUAGGGGAGCGUUCUGUAAGCCUGUGAAGGUGUGCUGUGAGGCAUGCUGGAGGUAUCAGAAGUGCGAAUGCUGACAUAAGUAACGAUAAAGCGGGUGAAAAGCCCGCUCGCCGGAAGACCAAGGGUUCCUGUCCAACGUUAAUCGGGGCAGGGUGAGUCGACCCCUAAGGCGAGGCCGAAAGGCGUAGUCGAUGGGAAACAGGUUAAUAUUCCUGUACUUGGUGUUACUGCGAAGGGGGGACGGAGAAGGCUAUGUUGGCCGGGCGACGGUUGUCCCGGUUUAAGCGUGUAGGCUGGUUUUCCAGGCAAAUCCGGAAAAUCAAGGCUGAGGCGUGAUGACGAGGCACUACGGUGCUGAAGCAACAAAUGCCCUGCUUCCAGGAAAAGCCUCUAAGCAUCAGGUAACAUCAAAUCGUACCCCAAACCGACACAGGUGGUCAGGUAGAGAAUACCAAGGCGCUUGAGAGAACUCGGGUGAAGGAACUAGGCAAAAUGGUGCCGUAACUUCGGGAGAAGGCACGCUGAUAUGUAGGUGAAGUCCCUCGCGGAUGGAGCUGAAAUCAGUCGAAGAUACCAGCUGGCUGCAACUGUUUAUUAAAAACACAGCACUGUGCAAACACGAAAGUGGACGUAUACGGUGUGACGCCUGCCCGGUGCCGGAAGGUUAAUUGAUGGGGUUAGCGCAAGCGAAGCUCUUGAUCGAAGCCCCGGUAAACGGCGGCCGUAACUAUAACGGUCCUAAGGUAGCGAAAUUCCUUGUCGGGUAAGUUCCGACCUGCACGAAUGGCGUAAUGAUGGCCAGGCUGUCUCCACCCGAGACUCAGUGAAAUUGAACUCGCUGUGAAGAUGCAGUGUACCCGCGGCAAGACGGAAAGACCCCGUGAACCUUUACUAUAGCUUGACACUGAACAUUGAGCCUUGAUGUGUAGGAUAGGUGGGAGGCUUUGAAGUGUGGACGCCAGUCUGCAUGGAGCCGACCUUGAAAUACCACCCUUUAAUGUUUGAUGUUCUAACGUUGACCCGUAAUCCGGGUUGCGGACAGUGUCUGGUGGGUAGUUUGACUGGGGCGGUCUCCUCCUAAAGAGUAACGGAGGAGCACGAAGGUUGGCUAAUCCUGGUCGGACAUCAGGAGGUUAGUGCAAUGGCAUAAGCCAGCUUGACUGCGAGCGUGACGGCGCGAGCAGGUGCGAAAGCAGGUCAUAGUGAUCCGGUGGUUCUGAAUGGAAGGGCCAUCGCUCAACGGAUAAAAGGUACUCCGGGGAUAACAGGCUGAUACCGCCCAAGAGUUCAUAUCGACGGCGGUGUUUGGCACCUCGAUGUCGGCUCAUCACAUCCUGGGGCUGAAGUAGGUCCCAAGGGUAUGGCUGUUCGCCAUUUAAAGUGGUACGCGAGCUGGGUUUAGAACGUCGUGAGACAGUUCGGUCCCUAUCUGCCGUGGGCGCUGGAGAACUGAGGGGGGCUGCUCCUAGUACGAGAGGACCGGAGUGGACGCAUCACUGGUGUUCGGGUUGUCAUGCCAAUGGCACUGCCCGGUAGCUAAAUGCGGAAGAGAUAAGUGCUGAAAGCAUCUAAGCACGAAACUUGCCCCGAGAUGAGUUCU
RNAcentral lists this ribosomal RNA (2772 nucleotides) under human gut metagenome. Its description in RNAcentral is "bacterial LSU rRNA". It matches the Rfam family "Bacterial large subunit ribosomal RNA". The record is from RNAcentral.